GUGAGAGAAGGAGAAGGAAAUGAGGUCAGGAGGAAUCUGUGGGAACCAAACAUCAGCCUGGUUGCCUGAUCCUCUCCCUAAAAAUGCCAGAAUGAUGUGAAAUGCCAUGCUUGACUGGCUCCCAGCAGUGGAGGGAAAUCUUCAUCCCU
Pseudonaja textilis is the source of this 149-nucleotide non-coding RNA. The record is from RefSeq and is a predicted model, not a curated record. Lineage: Eukaryota; Metazoa; Chordata; Lepidosauria; Squamata; Elapidae.